CUCCUCCCUGAGUCUCCAGCUGAAAGACCCUCAACGCGAUCAACAUCAGCUCCUCCCUGAGUCUUCAGCUGCAUGAACCUCAAUCUAGAACAUCACCUCCUCUCCAGGUCUACAGCUGUAGGGGCCCUCAAUCUAGAACAUCAACUUCUCUCCGGGUCUCCAGCUGUAGGGCCAUCAAACGAGAACAUCAGUUCUCCCGGCUCAGCUGCACGAACCUCAAUCUAGAACAUCAGCUCCUCUCCGGGUCUGCAGCUGCAAGACCCUCAAACUACAACAUCAGCUCCUCCCUGGGUCUCCAGCUCCUCCAUGACCCACAAUCUAGAACAUCAGCUCCUCCC
This 338-nucleotide long non-coding RNA is filed under the name Papio anubis (olive baboon). Its description in RNAcentral is "lncRNA (ENSPANG00000051114.1)". Lineage: Eukaryota; Metazoa; Chordata; Mammalia; Primates; Cercopithecidae. The record is from RNAcentral.